CACCUCCACAGUGUUGAGAAGAUGAAAGGCACAGCUUAUUGAUAUUGUAUAUGCUAACGUUUGGAUGUGGGACAGAAAAGACAGCCUUUAACUGCUGGUAUGCAGUGCUGAAUCUGGGCUGCAUGAAGAGGUUUUCAUUUACGGAUGUUGGAUGUGUGCCCAGAUUGCCAUAGUAGAAUUCAGGAAAAAGCACAGUAAAGAGAAGAACCACAGAAUGGUUUGGGGAACAUCCACAUGAGGCAGAAGAACAAAUACAUCUGAAGACUGUUUCCAGAAAUGAAAGGACUAACCACUGGGGAACAGUUGUGAGCCCCCCAAAUCCCAACCUGGCCCUCUACUUGAAGGAAAAAAGUUACUAUUUCUUGGACCCAUUUUGCCAGCAAAGGAUGGGUGGAGAAAGAAGUACUGAAGUCUGCAUUUUCAAAUAAAAUACGAACAAGAAUAACACUUUAAGGAGGUCUAAAAACUGUAUAGGCCUUCAGAAAGAGGCCUUCUGAGAGCAUAUGGUUUUCUGUGACAAGCAGUCAUGAACAUAAUACUGGUGGAAAGCUUUGAGCUCAAAGCUGUUAGAAUUCAGGUAAUUAAUAUUAUAGAAUUUCUGGAAAGAGAGAUCUUUUUUAAUGGGGUACUAUAGAAGGCCCUAAGGUCAUUAGAAUAUUCUAGAAUAACUUGUUUGUCAUUUAUUUAUGUGUGCUUAUAUGUCUGUGGAGGGGCUUCCCUAUUUGCUCAAUGGUAAGAACCCACCUGCCAAAGGAGGAGACACAGUUUUGAUUCCUGGAUCGGGAAGAUCAUCUGGAGAAGGAAAUGUAAACACACUCCAGUGUUCUUGGCUGGGAAAUUCCAUGAACAGAAGAACCUGGCAGGCUAUAAUCCAUGGGAUUGCAAAGAGUCGGACACAAUUGAGUAACUAAACAAAAUGUACGUAGAGAUGCUAAAAGGGUGAUAGUAUAACACCAUGGACCUUGAAUAUUUCUGAAAUUUCAGAGAGUUCUGAGUCUGAUUGCCACUGUCAACUCAUUGUCCAAGCUGUUUUCAAGGAUUACCUUCUCAUGCCCUAUUGGCUAGGAGACUCUUAAAGACUGUUUCCAUGAAACAACACAUCUAAAUGCAAAGAAGAUAUGAAUUAUCAAAUCUGAAUCAGAUCUUUAAAUGAUACAGUCUCAUCAGAACUCUGAAUAGAUUCAUUCUUAUCCACUUGUGGCAUCCAAGAGAUUUUUGUGCACCUGGGAGACACAGCUUACAGCCCAUGGCAGAGGAUCUACACAGCCUGGGUAGGCGGCAGGGCGAUGGGGGGAGGCAGCCAUCUUUCCACAGCAAAGUCCUGGUUUUCUGCACAAGGAACUGUUCCUGCACUGGACUUUCAGAAGUAAAAAUAGUUAUUUACAGAUGAGAUAUUUGUAGUAAUUACUCCUAAGCAUGAGAAUUUCCUCAUAGGUAGUUAAUCAUAUUUAAUGUUUAUUAAAAUUAUGGAGAAAUACAUGGAAUUUUCAAAAUACAUGGUGGUCAUUUUAGUCAUUUACAUAUACGUGACACAAUACAAUCAAAAUAUUUGUAGGAAAAAUGUAUUUAAAUCUGAUUCUGACAGGAGGAAAUGCUGUUGGUUUAGUGUUUCCUGGGAUGAAAGGUUUUUUUUUUUUUUUUCAGAUUUUGCUUUCAAACUUGUAACUCACCUCUGUAUACCCACUGUUCUACUCACAAAAGUGGAAAUAUCUUUACCUGAAGAGGUUUUGAGUAGGUUAAAUAAAAUAACAGGUUAUUGCAGGUUUAUAGAAAAACAUAGUAUGCCCCCCACCUCUUACAUUUGAUUUAAACCUGGAUUCUGCUUCCUUUGAUUAAUUGAUUGCAUUUGUACCAGGAUAAAACAAUGCCAUUUAUUCUGGUAUGAGCCCUGAUUUUCCCUCCUAUGAAAAGUGAAUGGGUUAGCCACUGUCCCAAAUACCAGAGAAGUUAACACAGAUAUACUUUUAGAGGAAAUUGGAAAUGAAAUGUUACUGAAAGGGCUAAGUUCUCUUUCAGGAUGUAGUGGUGGGUUCCACAAAAUUUAUGAUUUGAAAAUCUAAGGAGAUGCUCAAUUAUAAUUACAUAAAACACAUUAUUUUUGAUAAAAGCACUCUGAAAUCUGCAGUUUUCUUCAUUGGCAUGCUUCCCUACGCUGUGCUGUACUGAACAUGUGCAGUACUAUUCUGAGUUUUCCGGAAGUGAAACAACUUUAUGGAAAUCAUAUGCAAAAUGUUUCUCAAGUUUUUUUGCAGUUUACUUUUUUAUGAGUCUGUUAAAAAUUUAAGAGAAGCCUUGUUGACAUUUUAUAUGCUUAUUUUUCUUUCAAAGGAAAAUUGGAGGAUUUUAAAAUUUUCAUAUCUAUGAGGAUAAAAGUUGAAAUAACAUCAUAAUUCUUAUCUUGUUCAAUUUGAUAUUUGGUUGUUUUAUUUUUUUAUGAGUUUUAUUCAUCUUGUAACCAGUCUUGUAUGUCUUAUAAAAAGAGGUUUAUUUUAGUUUUUUGGUUUUGAGGAAUUUGCCUAGAGCUAAAGUAUCUAGGCAGAAAACCUGUUCAAAAGAUCUAAAUUCUUAAAAUGCUACCUCUAAAAAAUGUUAAUAAAUAAAUAUUUUAAAUAUUGUCAUUUCAAUAUUUUAAGUACCUCAGCAAAUGAUUUUGGUAGAACUUUGUCCUCUGAGAAAACUAAAGAAAAGAACAUAUUGUUGUCUUGAAUAUAUCUGAAUGUCACAAUCACAUUGUUUCCCUCCAGUGUGUUUAUGAAUUUUUUUUAAUAAAAGGA
Cervus elaphus (red deer) is the source of this 2774-nucleotide long non-coding RNA. RefSeq lists it as uncharacterized. The transcript has 5 exons. NCBI's taxonomy places the organism in Eukaryota, Metazoa, Chordata, Mammalia, Artiodactyla, Cervidae. The record is from RefSeq and is a predicted model, not a curated record.